CAUGACUGGGGUCUUCAUUGUUGCGGGGUCUUGGCAACAACUUUUCUAGCUUCUUGGACUUAUCACGUGAGAUGACAUGCAGUAAUUUCAUGGCUCAGCAAGAAAGGACUUUCAUCCAAAUGAGGACAGUUCUCAAAGUUGUGGACAAUUCAGAUACAAAGAACGUUAUGUGCAUUCAAGCUCUAAAGGGGGAAAAGGUCAAGAUUGGGGGGC
This 213-nucleotide unclassified non-coding RNA is filed under the name Hevea brasiliensis (rubber tree). The record is from RNAcentral. Lineage: Eukaryota; Viridiplantae; Streptophyta; Magnoliopsida; Malpighiales; Euphorbiaceae.